GAUGAACGCUGGCGGCGUGCUUAACACAUGCAAGUCGAACAAAGCACUUUAACCUGAUUCUUCGGAUGAAGGUUUUUGUGACUGAGUGGCGGACGGGUGAGUAACGCGUGGGUAACCUGCCUCAUACAGGGGGAUAACAGUUAGAAAUGACUGCUAAUACCGCAUAAGACCACAGAGCCGCAUGGCUCGGUGGGAAAAACUCCGGUGGUAUGAGAUGGACCCGCGUCUGAUUAGGUAGUUGGUGGGGUAACGGCCUACCAAGCCAACGAUCAGUAGCCGACCUGAGAGGGUGACCGGCCACAUUGGGACUGAGACACGGCCCAAACUCCUACGGGAGGCAGCAGUGGGGAAUAUUGCACAAUGGGGGAAACCCUGAUGCAGCGACGCCGCGUGAGCGAAGAAGUAUUUCGGUAUGUAAAGCUCUAUCAGCAGGGAAGAAAAUGACGGUACCUGACUAAGAAGCACCGGCUAAAUACGUG
This 479-nucleotide ribosomal RNA is filed under the name uncultured bacterium. Its description in RNAcentral is "partial 16S ribosomal RNA". It matches the Rfam family "Bacterial small subunit ribosomal RNA", at positions 28 to 507 of the family's 1533-position model. The record is from RNAcentral.